RNAcentral lists this transfer RNA (70 nucleotides) under Haliotis ovina. RNAcentral's name for it is "tRNA-Gln". Lineage: Eukaryota; Metazoa; Mollusca; Gastropoda; Lepetellida; Haliotidae. The record is from RNAcentral.
UGUGGGGUAGUAUAAGAGGUACGUUAGGUUUUGGUCCUGAAGGUGGAAGUAAUAAUCCUUCUCUCCGCAG